UUAAAGCCGAUUUUCCAUUAGGCGGAAUUUUGCGCGCGGAGCGGAAUUUUUCUUUGUCUUUUCUAAUUAGUUUCACCCGAGAAAUCACAAGAGAAAGAAAAAGUCCGCUCCGCGCGCAAAAUUCCGCCUAGUGGAAAACCGGCUUAAGUCUUUAAAAGAACAGUUAUGUUUGAGGGCCUAUUUUUUAGAUUCUAAGUUUGAC
Paramuricea clavata is the source of this 202-nucleotide non-coding RNA. NCBI's taxonomy places the organism in Eukaryota, Metazoa, Cnidaria, Anthozoa, Malacalcyonacea, Plexauridae. The record is from the annotation of a GenBank genome assembly.